ACGGGUGAGUAGCACGUAUCCAACCUGCCGUCUACUCUUGGACAGCCUUCUGAAGGAAGAUUAAUACAAGAUGGCAUCAUGAGUCCGCAUGUUCACAUGAUUAAAGGUAUUCCGGUAGACGAUGGGGAUGCGUUCCAUUAGAUAGUAGGCGGGGUAACGGCCCACCUAGUCUUCGAUGGAUAGGGGUUCUGAGAGGAAGGUCCCCCACAUUGGAACUGAGACACGGUCCAA
This 231-nucleotide ribosomal RNA is filed under the name uncultured bacterium. RNAcentral's name for it is "partial 16S ribosomal RNA". It matches the Rfam family "Bacterial small subunit ribosomal RNA", at positions 102 to 334 of the family's 1533-position model. The record is from RNAcentral.